UACAGAGGGUGCAAGCGUUAAUCGGAAUUACUGGGCGUAAAGGGUGCGUAGGUGGUUUGAUAAGUUAGGUGUGAAAGUCCUGGGCUUAACCUGGGGACUGCGCUUAAUACUGUUAAGCUAGAGUACUGUAGAGGGAGGUGGAAUUUCCGGUGUAGCGGUGAAAUGCGUAGAUAUCGGAAGGAACAUCAGUGGCGAAGGCGACUUCCUGGACAGAUACUGACACUGAGGCACGAAAGCAUGGGGAGCAAACAGGAUUAGAUACCCUGGUAGUCCAUGCUGUAAACGAUGAGGACUGGCUGUUGGACUCCGUGAGGGGUUUAGUAGCGAAGCUAACGCGUUAAGUUCUCCGCCUGGGGAGUACGGUCGCAAGACUAAA
Molecule: ribosomal RNA, 376 nt
Filed under: uncultured bacterium
Lineage: Bacteria
Description: bacterial SSU rRNA
Rfam family: Bacterial small subunit ribosomal RNA
Source: RNAcentral